UACGAAGGGAGCUAGCGUUGUUCGGAAUCACUGGGCGUAAAGCGCACGUAGGCGGUUUUGUCAGUCAGGGGUGAAAUCCCGGGGCUCAACCUCGGAACUGCCUUUGAUACAGCAAGUCUUGAGUUCGAGAGAGGUGGGUAGAAUUCCUAGUGUAGAGGUGAAAUUCGUAGAUAUUAGGAAGAACACCGGUGGCGAAGGCGGCCCACUGGCUCGAUACUGACGCUGAGGUGCGAAAGCGUGGGGAGCAAACAGG
Molecule: ribosomal RNA, 253 nt
Filed under: uncultured bacterium
Lineage: Bacteria
Description: partial 16S ribosomal RNA
Rfam family: Bacterial small subunit ribosomal RNA
Source: RNAcentral